UAGCUCAGAGGUAGAACACUUGCCUCACAUGCAUGAGACCCUGGGUUCAAUCCCCAG
RNAcentral lists this transfer RNA (57 nucleotides) under Marmota marmota marmota (Alpine marmot). It matches the Rfam family "tRNA", at positions 8 to 63 of the family's 71-position model. From Rfam's summary of the family: Transfer RNA (tRNA) molecules are approximately 80 nucleotides in length. Their secondary structure includes four short double-helical elements and three loops (D, anti-codon, and T loops). RNAcentral also lists the same sequence under 3 other names. Lineage: Eukaryota; Metazoa; Chordata; Mammalia; Rodentia; Sciuridae. The record is from Rfam by way of RNAcentral.